GGGACUGUGGGAAAGAACACUUGUUCCUACCCGAGGACGGCCACACGGAAGACAAGGGACUGGCCUUCUGGGCGAGCGUGCCAGCGGGGAGUCCGGGCUGCGGGGUGCGGGCGCGGCCUGCGCCCUGGGGGGAUUCCAUGGCUCUGGCCGGGGCCGCUUCCUGUCUUGACACGGCCUCGGCACUCCGCAGGUUGACCGGCUCAUCGCUCAUGGGGCUGACAUCCUGAGCCCUGUGACGCUCGUGCAGGGGGACAAGGUGGCAGUGGGCACGGCCGUGGACUACGGCUACUUCAGGUUCUUCCAGGACCGGAAGAUCGCCCAUUGCCCCUUCCACGCGCUCAUGCCAACUGAGCGGGAGACGCUCUUGGCCCGGAAGAGGCUCCUGGAGCACAUGGGCUGCCAGCUCCGCCGUGCCGUCUUCGCCAGGGAGAGCCAGUGGGAUCCCAAGGUGCUGUACAUGAGCAAAAGAGUGGAGCUGAGCCCCAGCCUCAAGCUGAAGAAGAGAAGCGCGGGCCCCGCCAAGUUCCUGGAGGAGCAGGGCAGGUGAGAGGGGCCCCGGGCUCUUGGCCGGCCAGCGGCCUGCGGGGGGCUGGCCCUGUACCCUCCCGCCCAAGGCAGUCCUCGGCCCCGCCCCGCACCGUGUGGUCCUGCACAGCAGCCUGCAGGGGGCCGUGGGGCCACCGGGACAAAAGUCCAGGGCUGGAGAGGCCGCUGGUCACCAGGGGACAAGGGUCCAGGGCUGGGGAGUCCUCUUUGGACACCAGCGGCCGUGGGCGUGGCCUGUGGCACGGCUGUGCCCACCGCCGGCAGCGAGGCUCGGG
RNAcentral lists this long non-coding RNA (821 nucleotides) under Dasypus novemcinctus (nine-banded armadillo). RNAcentral's name for it is "lncRNA (ENSDNOG00000051280.1)". The record is from RNAcentral. Lineage: Eukaryota; Metazoa; Chordata; Mammalia; Cingulata; Dasypodidae.